UAGGGAAUCUUCCACAAUGGACGAAAGUCUGAUGGAGCAACGCCGCGUGAGUGAAGAAGGGUUUCGGCUCGUAAAACUCUGUUGUUAAAGAAGAACAUAUCUGAGAGUAACUGUUCAGGUAUUGACGGUAUUUAACCAGAAAGCCACGGCUAACUACGUGCCAGCAGCCGCGGUAAUACGUAGGUGGCAAGCGUUGUCCGGAUUUAUUGGGCGUAAAGCGAGCGCAGGCGGUUUUUUAAGUCUGAUGUGAAAGCCUUCGGCUCAACCGAAGAAGUGCAUCGGAAACUGGGAAACUUGAGUGCAGAAGAGGACAGUGGAACUCCAUGUGUAGCGGUGAAAUGCGUAGAUAUAUGGAAGAACACCAGUGGCGAAGGCGGCUAUCUGGUCUGUAACUGACGCUGAGGCUCGAAAGUAUGGGUAGCAAACAGG
RNAcentral lists this ribosomal RNA (429 nucleotides) under bacterium. RNAcentral's name for it is "partial 16S ribosomal RNA". It matches the Rfam family "Bacterial small subunit ribosomal RNA", at positions 355 to 776 of the family's 1533-position model. The record is from RNAcentral.